AGUGAACGCUGGCGGUAGGCCUAACACAUGCAAGUCGAACGGCAGCACAGGAGAGCUUGCUCUCUGGGUGGCGAGUGGCGGACGGGUGAGGAAUACAUCGGAAUCUGCCCAGUCGUGGGGGAUAACGUAGGGAAACUUACGCUAAUACCGCAUACGACCUUCGGGUGAAAGAGGGGGAUCGCAAGACCUCUCGCGAUUGGAUGAGCCGAUGUCGGAUUAGCUAGUUGGCGGGGUAAUGGCCCACCAAGGCGACGAUCCGUAGCUGGUCUGAGAGGAUGAUCAGCCACACUGGAACUGAGACACGGUCCAGACUCCUACGGGAGGCAGCAGUGGGGAAUAUUGGACAAUGGGCGCAAGCCUGAUCCAGCCAUACCGCGUGGGUGAAGAAGGCCUUCGGGUUGUAAAGCCCUUUUGUUGGGAAAGAAAUCUUUCAGGCUAAUACCCUGGGAGGAUGACGGUACCUAAAGAAUAAGCACCGGCUAACUUCGUG
RNAcentral lists this ribosomal RNA (490 nucleotides) under uncultured bacterium. RNAcentral describes it as "partial 16S ribosomal RNA". It matches the Rfam family "Bacterial small subunit ribosomal RNA", at positions 29 to 507 of the family's 1533-position model. The record is from RNAcentral.